Long non-coding RNA from Varanus komodoensis (Komodo dragon), 621 nucleotides. RefSeq lists it as uncharacterized. The transcript is spliced from 2 exons. The record is from RefSeq and is a predicted model, not a curated record. Lineage: Eukaryota; Metazoa; Chordata; Lepidosauria; Squamata; Varanidae.
UAGGUGUAAAAGCUCCACUUCAAAAAAGAGCACAGCACUGCCAGGUACACCCCGGGCUGAAAGCAUAUCAAGUCAACAGCAAAGAGGCACUGAAGCACUGUUUCCUCUCCCAUGAACAUCCUGCUUAGCUUUUCAUCCAGUUUGGUUUUGGAGAUUAUACCAAGCACUGCAAACAAGCUUUCAACUGUAGUUUUGUGGCCUUGGAAGCUAGAAAGUUGCUAAGAAAAACCUGAGGAUACGGAAUCCUACAUCCAUUAUCCACUGUCUUGUCUGGACUUUGUUAGCCCAAGGAAUUGCCCACAGCCUUACCACCACUUUCACCAUGCCCCAAAUGUGGAGGAACGAUGACAGUCCGUUUCUCUCCCACGCACAUGUUGAGCAGGCCAGUGUUGAGACCAUCAAUGAUCUUGUUGGAACCCAGAGUGGCUUCUUGGGGAUGGUCAUAGUCAUGGCUGUUAAUGGGGAACAGAAACUGUUGUAGUACUCCUGAGAAUGCCUGGCAGAAGCCCCAGGACUGUGUGUUUUGACUCCAGCUGGCUCCCCUUGACUUUAUUCCUAAAAUUCUGCACUAAGAAAAGCUAAUUUUGCUUUUCUUUGUAUAAAUUAUACAAAUUACCAUAG